CGGAUUGUCCCGUGUUGUGGUCUGACCCCCGACCCCGACGGCAACGCGGGGCAUCCC
Molecule: small RNA, 57 nt
Filed under: Mycobacterium sherrisii
Lineage: Bacteria; Bacillati; Actinomycetota; Actinomycetes; Mycobacteriales; Mycobacteriaceae
Description: F6 TB sRNA
Rfam family: F6 TB sRNA
Source: Rfam by way of RNAcentral